GCGGGAUAGCUCAGCUGGAGAGCAGAGGACUGAAAA
RNAcentral lists this transfer RNA (36 nucleotides) under Artocarpus altilis. RNAcentral describes it as "partial tRNA-Phe". The record is from RNAcentral. Lineage: Eukaryota; Viridiplantae; Streptophyta; Magnoliopsida; Rosales; Moraceae.